RNAcentral lists this ribosomal RNA (245 nucleotides) under uncultured bacterium. Its description in RNAcentral is "partial 16S ribosomal RNA". It matches the Rfam family "Bacterial small subunit ribosomal RNA", at positions 524 to 768 of the family's 1533-position model. The record is from RNAcentral.
UACGAAGGGGGCUAGCGUUGCUCGGAAUGACUGGGCGUAAAGGGCGCGUAGGCGGUUCGUACAGUCAGACGUGAAAUUCCCGGGCUCAACCUGGGGGCUGCGUUUGAUACGUGCGAGCUGGAGUUCGGAAGAGGGUCGUGGAAUUCCCAGUGUAGAGGUGAAAUUCGUAGAUAUUGGGAAGAACACCGGUGGCGAAGGCGGCGACCUGGUCCGAUACUGACGCUGAGGCGCGAAAGCGUGGGGAG